RNAcentral lists this long non-coding RNA (2013 nucleotides) under Lotus japonicus. Its description in RNAcentral is "long non-coding RNA (LJAP_LNC001881)". The record is from RNAcentral. Lineage: Eukaryota; Viridiplantae; Streptophyta; Magnoliopsida; Fabales; Fabaceae.
AGAAACACAAUUCUACCAGCCCUCCGCAAAUUUGAGUCGAUUUCGACAUGAAGGUAUGACUCAGUCACUUUGCUUUAGUCAUUUGAUUAUUUUCAAUUUCCUAACUCAAUAAUAUGUUUUCCCUCAAGGUCUUCUUCUCUUGGGAGGCUGUGAUAAUGUCAAUGUUAUUUCUUUGGUUUCAUUUUUUGUUUUAUUCAUAUUUUUAAGUGAUGAUGAUUUUCUUUCAUUUUUGUUUUAUUCAGAUUGGUUUAAUUAAUUAUGAGUUAUUUCUUAAAUUGGAUGUGAGAUUAUGAUAUUGUAGGUGAAAGAAGUAUUUUUCAAAGAAGGAUCCUUGUAAUCCCAGGUGGGAGAAAAAAGCUCAAUUCACAAUUGUGUUUUAAGAAAAAAAUUGCUUGAGGAUAGUUACGGUCGUUUUUGUGCAACAAUUUUAUGGGAUAUCUGUUGAGUCAUUUUCUUUUAGUUGGUGAGUUCAUCAAAUAAUAUUUGAACCCAUAGCUGGAUACUAUGUUUAAAUUUUGAAUUUUUUAAAAAUUAAAUUGCUUAUGAAUGGGUUGUUCUUCAUGGUUUUUUUUUGCUUAUAAAAGAUACACUGACAAUUUGAAGCGAGUGGGGAAAGUUAGAAAAGUUUCAUUUGUAUCUAUUUAUUAACUCUUUCGAAAGAUGGGUAAUCUCCGGAAUAGCUAUUUAUGAUAUUAUGCAAUUUGUAUAGUCGGAUGUACAUACAGUAUGCAUGAGAUUAACCGCUUCAAUGGGAUCUUUUAUUUUGGCAUGCAGAAAGAUUACCAAACGCCUCGCAUUCACUCACUCUUGGUGCCAAUGAUUCUUUUUUUUUCGAGAAAAAAUGAAAGACCAUGCAUGCGCCGUAUGAAUAUUAAGUAGUAAUAGCAUGACACUUCGAGUUCAAUAUGCAAAAAAAAUGUUUUUUUUUUCAAAACAAUUCAACUUAUCGGAAGGGUAGUAUGAACAAGGGGGUAUUUACAAUUUUAUACAUAUUAUUUCAUAUGUGAGUUUUCAGGACCGUUGGAUAUUCAGCAGACUUUUAAUCUUAGUCGUUCAAUAUUCCCCUUGAACUUCCUUCAUCAAUGUUAGUAUAUAACUUUAUACUAUUAAGCUAAAAAUUAUUUUAAAUAAAUUUAUUAUUAUUUAAUUUAUAUGAGUUAUGGAAUGUCAUGGGUCAAAAUUAAUAUUAAAUAUGAUAUUAGUUGUGAAUUCCAUAAGACACAAAUUAUUGGUUUAGAAUUGUUGAAAUAUUAAUCAGCCAAUAAUUAAUAUUAAUAAUAAACUUAAAAAAAAACUCAUAUCCCUUCAUUGUGAACUUCCUUCUUCAAUGUCAUUCUGUAGACUUCUACUAUUAAUUCAAAAUUAUUAUAAAUAAAUUUAUUAUUAUUUAUUUUAUAUAAGUUAUGAAAUUCAAAAAUGUAUCUGAAUACUAAAUAAGAUCUCACCAAAAGAAAAAACAAAUAUCACUAACCUUUAUACCUACAAUUAUAUAAAUAAGUGUCAAUACUCAUUCAACAUGUGUCACAUAUGCUUUGAGGUAUUUGCUUUUAUUUUCUAAAAGGCUCAAGAUUCAAGACAUUUUACGAAGAACAUAUAUCCAACGACUAACUAUUGAUGUACUGUCCUAAAAUGUUUACUUGUGUUAUAACAUGCUUUUUUAUUUCAUGAUGAUCUUCAACUUGAUUCCAUCAUGUAAAAUUGAAACACCUAAAAAAUUAUGUUCUCUUUGAUUUGCUCAACUUUUUGUUAUGUAGGAUGACUUAAACUUUGCACAAGGUACCGAAUAUUUUUGUAGGAAAGAUCGAAUGGAAGAUUAAAGUUCGUGUGCUCCAUGUGUGGGAAACAGGAGAUUUAAAAAAACCUCAAAUUGUUAAUAGUAUUGAACUGCUCUUAAUCAUUGAAUAGGUAUUUUGAUUUCUUUGUUUUCACCACUUUCAUGGUACCUAAUUCAAACUUUUUAUUGUUACCAUAACAAACGUGAAUUUUUAAAAUUGUAGUUUUUCAUUUUGAAAA